Non-coding RNA from Camellia sinensis, 825 nucleotides. NCBI's taxonomy places the organism in Eukaryota, Viridiplantae, Streptophyta, Magnoliopsida, Ericales, Theaceae. The record is from RefSeq and is a predicted model, not a curated record.
UUUCAUUAUUCCAUUACUCACUCUCUCUCUCUCUCUCUAUGUCAUUCUCUCCAGAAAGUGUAAUGACUCUCUUUAUAUCUCCCUCUUCUCCCCAUCGAAGUUGUUGUUCAAAAAGCUUCAACAGAUUCGAAAUACAUGAGGUAUCCCAUGAGCAAACCAAAUGGAUAGUUGGAGCAAAGAAGCAGUUGGGAUGAUGGCCUUUCUUGAAGCCCUCAGAAGCGUUUGUUUCAACUCAAACUGGACUGACUUUGUUUUUUGGCCAAUUCAUUCUCGCCAGAGAGUUAGAUGUGGUAAUGGUUGCAAAGUUGGAGACGACAAUGGUAGCUUAUGAGUAUAAACUACUUCUUUCCUUAAUUUUUUUGCAAAAAUGGAGGAAAAUAAGAGAUAGGUUCUGCUAUUGUUUUGUUUUACUGUUUUUUAUGUUGUUCUGAGGUUAAGUACUGUUUGGAUGAGCAAUUAAUUGAAAUGGGUUAUGGGUUGAUUGUGUUUUUUUUAUUUUAUUUAUUUUAUUGUGUGUAGGAUGUUGAUGUGGGAAGAUGGGUUUUGCAAAGGAAGAAUUGUAGAUUGUUUGGAAGAAAUUGUGGGUACUUGGUAGCUUUCAUUUUUAAUUUUUUUAAAUAUGAAAUCUCUCUCUCACAUAUAGUAAUUUUGGAGAGUAAAAUUGAUUAUACAAAUAAGAAAAUUGGCAAAAUCUUUAGUACUCCUCUCUCUAUUUGAUUUUUAAUUUUUUUUUUAUUUUUUUAAUCAGUUGUUGUUCAUAGCAUUUCAGUGUACCAUGUUAAACCAUUAAAGGUAUCCUACUUUUUUAAUAUGAUGCAUGGCUUC